Molecule: ribosomal RNA, 497 nt
Filed under: uncultured bacterium
Lineage: Bacteria
Description: partial 16S ribosomal RNA
Rfam family: Bacterial small subunit ribosomal RNA
Source: RNAcentral
GAUGAACGCUGGCGGCGUGCCUAAUACAUGCCAGUCGAGCGAACGGACGAGAAGCUUGCUUCUCUGAUGUUAGCGGCGGACGGGUGAGUAACACGUGGAUAACCUACCUAUAAGACUGGGAUAACUUCGGGAAACCGGAGCUAAUACCGGAUAAUAUUUUGAACCGCAUGGUUCAAAAGUGAAAGACGGUCUUGCUGUCACUUAUAGAUGGAUCCGCGCUGCAUUAGCUAGUUGGUAAGGUAACGGCUUACCAAGGCAACGAUGCAUAGCCGACCUGAGAGGGUGAUCGGCCUCACUGGAACUGAGACACGGUCCAGACUCCUACGGGAGGCAGCAGUAGGGAAUCUUCCGCAAUGGGCGAAAGCCUGACGGAGCAACGCCGCGUGAGUGAUGAAGGUCUUCGGAUCGUAAAACUCUGUUAUUAGGGAAGAACAUAUGUGUAAGUAACUGUGCACAUCUUGACGGUACCUAAUCAGAAAGCCACGGCUAACUACGUG